Molecule: ribosomal RNA, 253 nt
Filed under: uncultured bacterium
Lineage: Bacteria
Description: partial 16S ribosomal RNA
Rfam family: Bacterial small subunit ribosomal RNA
Source: RNAcentral
UACAGAGGGUGCGAGCGUUAAUCGGAGUGACUGGGCGUAAAGGGCAUGUAGGCGGUUAUAUUAGUCUGAUGUGAAAGACCUGGGCUUAACCUAGGAUAUGCAUUGGAAACGGUAUAGCUAGAGUAUGGGAGAGGGAAGUGGAAUUUCCGGUGUAGCGGUGAAAUGCGUAGAGAUCGGAAAGAACACUCGUGGCGAAGGCGGCUUUCUGGCCCAAAACUGACGCUGAGGUGCGAAAGCAUGGGGAGCAAACAGG